This 133-nucleotide ribosomal RNA is filed under the name uncultured bacterium. RNAcentral describes it as "partial 16S ribosomal RNA". The record is from RNAcentral.
ACGUAUUUAGCCGGUGCUUAUUCCUUAGGUACCGUCAUUUUCUUCCCUAAGAAAAGAACUUUACGACCCGAAAGCCUUCUUCGUUCACGCGGCGUUGCUGCAUCAGGUUUGCGCCCAUUGUGCAAUAUUCCCC